Molecule: ribosomal RNA, 301 nt
Filed under: uncultured bacterium
Lineage: Bacteria
Description: partial 16S ribosomal RNA
Rfam family: Bacterial small subunit ribosomal RNA
Source: RNAcentral
CAGCAGCCGCGGGAAUACGUAGGGUGCAAGCGUUAAUCGGGAUUACUGGGCGUAAAGCGUGCGCAGGCGGUUUGUUAAGACAGAUGUGAAAUCCCCGGGCUCAACCUGGGAACUGCAUUUGUGACUGGCAGGCUAGAGUAUGGCAGAGGGGGGUGGAAUUCCGCGUGUAGCAGUGAAAUGCGUAGAUAUGCGGAGGAACACCGAUGGCGAAGGCAGCCCCCUGGGCCAAUACUGACGCUCAUGCACGAAAGCGUGGGGAGCAAACAGGAUUAGAUACCCCAGUAGUCCCUGUCUCUUAUAA